AUCGCUUCUCGGCCUUUUGGCUAAGACCAAGUGUAGUAUCUGUUCUUAUCAGUUUAAAAAAAGCUUCCUACAUCCACACCAUACCUGACCCUGUUAUAGAAUGGCUAUUUGUA
Molecule: small nuclear RNA, 113 nt
Filed under: Pan troglodytes (chimpanzee)
Lineage: Eukaryota; Metazoa; Chordata; Mammalia; Primates; Hominidae
Rfam family: U2 spliceosomal RNA
About the family: U2 is a small nuclear RNA (snRNA) component of the spliceosome (involved in pre-mRNA splicing). Complementary binding between U2 snRNA (in an area lying towards the 5' end but 3' to hairpin I) and the branchpoint sequence (BPS) of the intron results the bulging out of an unpaired adenosine, on the BPS, which initiates a nucleophilic attack at the intronic 5' splice site, thus starting the first of two transesterification reactions that mediate splicing.
Source: RNAcentral